GCGCUCCUAGCCCGGCUGGAUAGAGCAUCAGAUUUCGAUUCCGAGGGUAGGGAGUUCGAACCUCUCGGAGCGCGCCA
Molecule: transfer RNA, 77 nt
Filed under: Afipia massiliensis
Lineage: Bacteria; Pseudomonadati; Pseudomonadota; Alphaproteobacteria; Hyphomicrobiales; Nitrobacteraceae
Description: tRNA-Arg
Rfam family: tRNA
About the family: Transfer RNA (tRNA) molecules are approximately 80 nucleotides in length. Their secondary structure includes four short double-helical elements and three loops (D, anti-codon, and T loops). Further hydrogen bonds mediate the characteristic L-shaped molecular structure. tRNAs have two regions of fundamental functional importance: the anti-codon, which is responsible for specific mRNA codon recognition, and the 3' end, to which the tRNAs corresponding amino acid is attached (by aminoacyl-tRNA synthetases). tRNAs cope with the degeneracy of the genetic code in two manners: having more than one tRNA (with a specific anti-codon) for a particular amino acid; and 'wobble' base-pairing, i.e. permitting non-standard base-pairing at the 3rd anti-codon position.
Source: RNAcentral